Ribosomal RNA from Oribacterium sinus F0268, 2879 nucleotides. It matches the Rfam family "Bacterial large subunit ribosomal RNA". The record is from Rfam. Lineage: Bacteria; Bacillati; Bacillota; Clostridia; Lachnospirales; Lachnospiraceae.
UGGUUAAGCAAUAAGAGCAUAGGGUGAAUGCCUAGGCACUGAGAGCCGAAGAAAGACGUGAUAAGCUGCGAAAAGCUGCGGGGAUUGGCAAAUACGAUUUGAUCCGCAGAUAUCUGAAUGGGGAAACCCACUAGAGAAAAGCUCUAGUACUGUACAGCCAAUACAUAACUGUACAGAGGGAACCCGCUGAACUGAAACAUCUAAGUAGGCGGAGGAAGAGAAAACAACAGUGAUUCCGAAAGUAGUGGCGAGCGAAAUCGGAAGAGCCCAAACCAAGGUGCGUGCACCUUGGGGUUCGGACCGCAUUUAGUUCCGUAAGUGAGUGGAAGACGAUGGAAAGCGUUGCCAUAGAGGGUGAAAGCCCCUUACACGAAGCGUAAAGGAAUGAGCGGAAUCCAGAGUACUGUCAGACACGUGGAACCUGGCAGGAAUACGGGGGGACCACCCCCUAAGGCUAAAUACUACUCAGUGACCGAUAGCGAUUAGUACUGUGAAGGAAAGGUGAAAAGGACCCCGGGAGGGGAGUGAAAGAGAACCUGAAACCCUGUGUUUACAAACUGUGGAACAGCGCAAGCUGAACCGCGUACUUUUUGUAGAACGGUCCGGCGAGUUAUAGUUACUGGCAAGGUUAAGGACUUAAGGUCCGGAGCCGAAGCGAGAGCGAGUCUGAAUAGGGCGCAAAGUCAGUAGAUAUAGACCCGAAACCGGGUGACCUAUCCAUGUCCAGGAUGAAGCUAAAGUAAAAUUUGGUGGAGGUCCGAACGCACAUCCGUUGAAAAGGGUGGCGAUGAGGUGUGGAUAGCGGAGAAAUUCCAAUCGAACCCGGAGAUAGCUGGUUCUCCUCGAAAUAGCUUUAGGGCUAGCCUCAUGGAGAGUCUAACGCAGGUAGAGCACUGAAUUCUUGAGGGGGCGUCAAAGUCUACCAAUAGAUAUCAAACUCCGAAUGGCGUAUAGAUAUACAUGGGAGUCAGACUGCGGGAUAUAAAUUCCGUAGUCAAAAGGGAAACAGCCCAGAUCUACAGCUAAGGUCCCAAAGUACAUGUUAAGUGGUAAAGGAUGUGGGAUUUCAUAGACAACUAGGAUGUUGGCUUAGAAGCAGCCACACAUUCAAAGAGUGCGUAAUAGCUCACUAGUCGAGAGGUCCUGCGCCGAAAAUUAACGGGGCUAAAACAUGACACCGAAGCUUAGGGAUGUAGCAAUACAUCGGUAGAGGAGCAUUGAAAACACGUAGAAGCGGUACUGUAAAGAUCCGUGGAGAGUUUUGAAGAGAGAAUGCCGGAAUGAGUAGCGAGAUGGAGGUGAGAAUCCUCCAGGCCGAAUAUCUAAGGUUUCCAGGGUAAAGCUGAUCUGCCCUGGGUAAGUCGGGGCCUAAGGCGAGGCUGAGAAGCGUAGUCGAUGGACAACUGGUGUAGAUUCCAGUACCUUACUAAAUCAGAAAUGUGGGGACACAUGGAGAAAGAGAGAGCCGGGAAUGAGAAGACCGGUGCAAGGGAGGUAGGAGUGUAGUAGGAAAAACCGCUAUACAAUCUGAAGACCUGAUGCGGAUCGAAAAGAAGUAGAGAAGCUCUUGGACUCUGUGGCGAGAAAAGCCGCUAUUGUGUUUAGUAAGCCCGUACCGCAAACCGACACAGGUAGAUGAGGAGAGAAUCCUAAGGCCGGCGGGAGAAGCAUUGUUAAGGAACUCGGCAAAAUGACCCCGUAACUUCGGGAGAAGGGGUGCCCAGGCAACUGGGCCGCAGAGAAAAGGCUCAAGCAACUGUUUAGCAAAAACACAGGUCUAUGCGAAACCGUAAGGUAAAGUAUAUGGGCUGACGCCUGCCCGGUGCUGGAAGGUUAAGAGGAGAGGUUAGAGCAAUCGAAGCUUUGAAUUGAAGCCCCAGUAAACGGCGGCCGUAACUAUAACGGUCCUAAGGUAGCGAAAUUCCUUGUCGGGUAAGUUCCGACCCGCACGAAAGGCGUAAUGAUUUGAGCGCUGUCUCAACAAUGCACCCGGUGAAAUUGAAGUGCCAGUGAAGAUGCUGGUUACCCGCGCCAGGACGGAAAGACCCCAUGGAGCUUUACUCCAGCUUGAUACUGGGAUUCGGUAAUGUAUGCACAGGAUAGGUGGGAGACGAAGAAGAUAGAACUUCGGUUUUAUCAGAGUCGCUGUUGGGAUACCACCCUUAUGUUAUUGGAUUUCUAACCUUAGGCCGUAAGCCGGUCAAGGGACAAUGUCAGGUGGGGAGUUUGACUGGGGCGGUCGCCUCCGAAAGUGUAUCGGAGGCGCUCAAAGGUUCCCUCAGGAUGGUUGGAAACCAUCCAAAGAGUGCAAAGGCAUAAGGGAGCUUGACUGCGAGGGCGACGGUCCGAGCAGAGUAGAAAUACGGACUUAGUGAUCCGGUGGUAUGAAAGUGGGAUUGCCAUCGCUCAACGGAUAAAAGCUACCCUGGGGAUAACAGGCUGAUCUCCCCCAAGAGUUCACAUCGACGGGGAGGUUUGGCACCUCGAUGUCGGCUCAUCGCAUCCUGGGGCUGAAGUCGGUCCCAAGGGUUGGGCUGUUCGCCCAUUAAAGCGGUACGCGAGCUGGGUUCAGAACGUCGUGAGACAGUUCGGUCCCUAUCCGGCGCGGGCGUAGGAUAUUUGAGAGGAUCUGUCCUUAGUACGAGAGGACCGGGAUGGACUGACCUCUGCUGUACCUGUUGGGAAUCAAUCCCAUAGCAGGGUAGGCAAGUUGGGAAUGGAUAAACGCUGAAGGCAUCUAAGCGUGAAGCCAACCUCAAGAUGAGAUAUCCCAUCGCAAGAGUAAGACCCCUUGAAGAGAACGAGGUAGAUAGGACUGAGGUGUAAGUGUAGCAAUACAUUCAGCUGACAGUUACUAAUAGGUCGAGGGCUUAUCCAAU